GACGAACGCUGGCGGCGUGCCUAAUACAUGCAAGUUGAGCGAUGAAGCUUGGUGCUUGCACCAAUUUGAAGAGCAGCGAACGGGUGAGUAACGCGUGGGGAAUCUGCCUUUGAGCGGGGGACAACAUUUGGAAACGAAUGCUAAUACCGCAUAACAACUUUAAACAUAAGUUUUAAGUUUGAAAGAUGCAAUUGCAUCACUCAAAGAUGAUCCCGCGUUGUAUUAGCUAGUUGGUGAGGUAAAGGCUCACCAAGGCGAUGAUACAUAGCCGACCUGAGAGGGUGAUCGGCCACAUUGGGACUGAGACACAGCCCAAACUCCUACGGGAGGCAGCAGUAGGGAAUCUUCGGCAAUGGACGAAAGUCUGACCGAGCAACGCCGCGUGAGUGAAGAAGGUUUUCGGAUCGUAAAACUCUGUUGGUAGGGAAGAACGUUGGUGAGAGUGGAAAGCUCAUCAAGUGACGGUAACUACCCAGAAAGGGACGGCUAACUACGUG
This 497-nucleotide ribosomal RNA is filed under the name uncultured bacterium. RNAcentral describes it as "partial 16S ribosomal RNA". It matches the Rfam family "Bacterial small subunit ribosomal RNA", at positions 28 to 507 of the family's 1533-position model. The record is from RNAcentral.